GGCCGCGGUAUUCUAACCGUGCAAAGGUAGCGUAAUCACUUGUUUUUUAAAUAAAGACCAGUAUGAAAGGCACCACGAGGAUCAAACUGUCUCCUUUUUCCAAUCAGUGAACCUAACCUCCCCGUGAAGAGGCGGGGAUAAGACUAUAAGACGAGAAGACCCUGUGGAGCUUAAAACAUUUAACACCUGGCACCCUGAUUAUGUGUUUUUGGUUGGGGUGACCGCGGAGAAAAACUCAUCCUCCAUAAUGAAUUAGCAAUAAACUACAACUUUAUGCAUCAAAAAAUUGACAUCAUCGACCCAAUAAAUUGAUCAAUGAACCAAGUUACCCCAGGGAUAACAGCACAAUCCACUUUAAAAGCUCCUAUCGACAAGUGGGCUUAUGACCUCGAUGUUGGAUCGGGGUAUCCCAGUGGUGCAACCGCUACUAAAGGUUCGUUUGUUCAACGAUUAAAACCCCACGUGAU
This 467-nucleotide ribosomal RNA is filed under the name Pristimantis martiae. Its description in RNAcentral is "partial 16S ribosomal RNA". It matches the Rfam family "Bacterial large subunit ribosomal RNA", at positions 1929 to 2604 of the family's 2925-position model. Lineage: Eukaryota; Metazoa; Chordata; Amphibia; Anura; Strabomantidae. The record is from RNAcentral.